AGCCUGAAAUCCUGCUUCCACUAAGUACCAGCUGGGUAACUUCAGGUCUUCUGUGCUCAGUUUCAGGCCCUGGAGGUCCAUGCUUCUGCCCAAGCUGUGUCUCAUCUCUGCAGGUGGAGCCCAGUUGACAGGAAAUGUUUCUCCAGAAGCUGAAAAGCUGCCUGGUAAAGGCCUUUCAUAAAAUGGUCUGCGUUUGGGACCAGGAAGACAGAAGACUCCUCAAGAAGAGAACUGGAACCUUAACCCACUUCAGACUUCUUCAUGUCUGAAGCUUAUUUCCACCAUCCCAUUGAGAACCAAAGAAGCGAGCUCCUUGGAGAAUCGGCUCCCACCUGGACCUUCUGUUUAUCCUUCCAAUAGCUGCUG
This 366-nucleotide long non-coding RNA is filed under the name Homo sapiens (human). RNAcentral's name for it is "HSALNT0346906". Lineage: Eukaryota; Metazoa; Chordata; Mammalia; Primates; Hominidae. The record is from RNAcentral.